UGGGGAAUUUUGGACAAUGGGCGAAAGCCUGAUCCAGCAAUGCCGCGUGAGUGAAGAAGGCCUUCGGGUUGUAAAGCUCUUUUGUCAGGGAAGAAACGGUGAGGGCUAAUAUCCCUUGCUAAUGACGGUACCUGAAGAAUAAGCACCGGCUAACUACGUGCCAGCAGCCGCGGUAAUACGUAGGGUGCAAGCGUUAAUCGGCAUUACUGGGCGUAAAGCGUGCGCAGGCGGUUUUGUAAGUCUGAUGUGAAAUCCCCGGGCUCAACCUGGGAAUUGCAUUGGAGACUGCAAGGCUAGAAUCUGGCAGAGGGGGGUAGAAUUCCACGUGUAGCAGUGAAAUGCGUAGAUAUGUGGAGGAACACCGAUGGCGAAGGCAGCCCCCUGGGUCAAGAUUGACGCUCAUGCACGAAAGCGUGGGGAGCAAACA
Molecule: ribosomal RNA, 427 nt
Filed under: uncultured bacterium
Lineage: Bacteria
Description: partial 16S ribosomal RNA
Rfam family: Bacterial small subunit ribosomal RNA
Source: RNAcentral